UACAGCCACAUCACGUUGAAGCAUUGGUUUCCAUAUGAUCACCAAAGUUAAGCAAUGUCAAGCCUGGUCAGUAGCUAGAUGGGUGACUGCUUGGGAAUACCUGGUGAUUGUAAG
Non-coding RNA from Acanthosepion pharaonis, 114 nucleotides. NCBI's taxonomy places the organism in Eukaryota, Metazoa, Mollusca, Cephalopoda, Sepiida, Sepiidae. The record is from the annotation of a GenBank genome assembly.